Molecule: long non-coding RNA, 388 nt
Filed under: Mustela putorius furo (domestic ferret)
Lineage: Eukaryota; Metazoa; Chordata; Mammalia; Carnivora; Mustelidae
Description: lncRNA (ENSMPUG00000027302.1)
Source: RNAcentral
GGAUCAUCUGAGAAGACCUGCUACACUAAAAGUAAAGUCAUCAACCAACCUUCCAGAAGGCCUCAGGACAGUAAGAAUCCAUAGAUUUGGUGGAAACCUCAACAUCCAUAAAGAAGAAAUGAGAAAAAAAUACUGCAAUGAUUUAUAAGCAAGAACUUCUGAAAACUGAAGAGGAAGAAAAGUCCGAAAAAGCAGCUCAGAAGGCAAGUGGUUUCUCAAGGUCCACAGUGGGACUUCAGCCUCAUUUAUUAAGCAGCAGAGUUUUAGAAGCCUUAUGCAGAAAUGAGUAAAAACCAAGGGGUGAAUGAAGACAGGGUUCGUCCCCCUCCACACACCUUCUCACCACUGUGAUAAACAAUCUAUAAUAAACAGUCAUUUUACAUCAGAA